UGCCGUCAUUCUGUUGUAUUUUUUAUGACGCCGAGUGAAGACGGGAAGACUAGGGUACCUUUUUUCCUAGGGAAUUAGGUUCCAACAAGUCCAUGAAACUCUGUCCUUAUUAGGUUUCCAGGAGUUUUUGCCUGGAGUUGCGAAUAAAGCUUAUGAGGAUUUUGCCUUUUAAGUUGGGCGUAAAAUGCCCUCUGAAAAGUAAGCUUUUUGGAAAAUUCUAAGCAACUAGAUCAGGUUUUCUACGAACUGGAAAAAUAUUCCUCUUUUUCACUUUAUGUCCUGAUUGGACUAGAGUGAAAGUGGACUUGUUUUUCUGCACCUGUUCCGUAAGGGAAAAGGUGAACUAGGCGUAGCCUUGAGGAAAACCAGGUGAGCAACUAAUUCUUUCCUAGGCUUAAGACCAGCUAAACCUCGUCAUAGUCUUGAAUUUCCUUGGAUCAGCUCGUCCUCUUUUUAGUAGAACCCACCAUUUUUCCUGGUGAGGAAAAGGUUGGGUUGAGUAUCGAGCUUGUGAGACUCUUUUAAUUUCCUUUCUUGUUAGAGGUUAGCUGAGUUGUCCAUAAAGUCUAUUUUGGGCCUACGUCCUUUUCAGUGAACUCGGCAAGAACUGGCACAACUGUUUUCUAGAAACAUAGGUGCUAGAAAGUCUUAGUGCCUUGUACUGCCAAGGGUUCCUACUGGCAGCAGUAUCUUGACUGUGCCAAAGUACCGUAAUUUCUUGUUGCUUUAUUGGCAACCAGGGAAGUAUACAUGAUGUCAUUCCUUUACUGAAAAGGCCUCGUGAAAUAAUGGCCAUGAUGAACACAGCAUGGGUAUU
RNAcentral lists this ribosomal RNA (817 nucleotides) under Kudoa septempunctata. RNAcentral describes it as "partial large subunit ribosomal RNA". Lineage: Eukaryota; Metazoa; Cnidaria; Myxozoa; Multivalvulida; Kudoidae. The record is from RNAcentral.